Molecule: ribosomal RNA, 497 nt
Filed under: uncultured bacterium
Lineage: Bacteria
Description: partial 16S ribosomal RNA
Rfam family: Bacterial small subunit ribosomal RNA
Source: RNAcentral
GAUGAACGCUGGCGGCAUGCCUAAUACAUGCAAGUCGAGCGAACGGACGAGAAGCUUGCUUCUCUGAUGUUAGCGGGUGACGGGUGAGUAACACGUGGAUAACCUACCUAUAAGACUGGGAUAACUUCGGGAAACCGGAGCUAAUACCGGAUAAUAUUUUGAACCGCAGGGUUCAAAAGUGAAAGACGGUCUUGCUGUCACUUAGAGAUGGAUCCGCGCUGCAUUAGCUAGUUGGUAAGGUAACGGCUUACCAAGGCAACGAUGCAUAGCCGACCUGAGAGGAUGAUCAGCCACACUGGAACUGAGACACGGUCCAGACUCCUACGGGAGGCAGCAGUAGGGAAUCUUCCGCAAUGGGCGAAAGCCUGACGCAGCAACGCCGCGUGAGUGAUGAAGGUCUUCGGAUCGUAAAACUCUGUUAUUAGGGAAGAACAUAUGUGUAAGUAACUGUGCACAUCUUGACGGUACCUAAUCAGAAAGCCACGGCUAACUACGUG